GUACAUCCUGAGAGAUAAACACAGGACAUGAGAAAUAUUUAUGUAGCUAAAUACAUUAUUUUUUAUACACAUUAGUACAGAACUUAGCAUUGUAAGCAGGGUUUGCGAGGGAUACGAUUAUCUUUGCAGAACCUUCAAAGUUGUCUUUGGAAAAAUUUGGAAAAAAGCAGGACCUGGAAGCAGUGUAAGAAAGUGACGGUUGUCUGCAUGGAAGACACUUACGAAUCAUAAUUAUCUCUGAAGCCUUUAGCGAAGGGGUUGUGGUCGAUCUUGAGCUGUGUGAUCUGCAAAUAAACAAACACCAGGAGCUGAAGAGCAGCACAAAAGCAGAAGUGGCUGUAUGAAGUUGUGGCUGUAUGAAGCUGUGGCUGCAGGUUCUGCUUACGUCUGUGUUCUGGUUGAGGUCUCUUUAAACGUGAACAGAGGAUUUGACCAGGCCUAAAGCUGAUGCUCUCUUAUAGAAGAAAACUGCAUGGGUUUACUCUUCAAAGCAAAGACUCUGCACCCCAAAUCUGAAAAACACCCAGACUCACACUGAAGGACAGACCUGAUCCACAUCUAAGGAGAAGAAGGAACUCCACAGAGGCUCUUUUGACUUGGUUCAGACGGCGUGCAGACGCAGUUUUCUGCAGCAGUUCAGCGCAGGAGCAGACGCGUGCAGACGUCUCUGAUGUUGAUCUUUGAUGAGGAGUCUCAAUAUUUAAGGUGCAGGCCAGAAGAGGUCUGUGUAUUUAUCUGAAAUGGUGUAAAACAGUCUGGACGGGCCGCCUGUUGACUGGACUCAGAUCAGUAUCAGACGCUCAUCAGAUGGGCCUACAGCAGCCAGAGAUACCCACCCAACAGUCCUGAUGACAGCAGGCUCUCCUGAUAAACACACACACACACACACAAUCCAGCAAUGACAGACAGACGAAUAGACACACAGUAUCCGUUGAUAUAUCACAAAUCUGUGCAUUGCAUAGAUGGAUGGUUGGUUGGAUAGAUGGAUAGAUAGAUGGAUAGAUAGA
Molecule: long non-coding RNA, 1007 nt
Organism: Misgurnus anguillicaudatus (oriental weatherfish)
Lineage: Eukaryota; Metazoa; Chordata; Actinopteri; Cypriniformes; Cobitidae
Source: RefSeq, a predicted model, not a curated record